UUGGAUUAAUGCCCUAUAGUAUCUUUUUAAGGCAUCUUAUUAAGAUUAAAGUUUUCGGUAUGAGAUGAGUAUGCGUUCUAUUAGCUAGUAGGUGUGGUAACGGCACACCUAGGCUACGAUAGAUAGGGGCCCUGAGAGGGGGAUCCCCCACACUGGUACUGAGACACGGACCAGACUCCUACGGGAGGCAGCAGUAAGGAAUAUUGGUCAAUGGACGAAAGUCUGAACCAGCCAUGCCGCGUGCAGGAUGACUGCCCUAUGGGUUGUAAAC
Molecule: ribosomal RNA, 271 nt
Filed under: uncultured Bacteroidota bacterium
Lineage: Bacteria; Pseudomonadati; Bacteroidota
Description: uncultured Bacteroidetes bacterium partial 16S ribosomal RNA
Rfam family: Bacterial small subunit ribosomal RNA
Source: RNAcentral